Long non-coding RNA from Anolis carolinensis (green anole), 621 nucleotides. RefSeq lists it as uncharacterized. NCBI's taxonomy places the organism in Eukaryota, Metazoa, Chordata, Lepidosauria, Squamata, Anolidae. The record is from RefSeq and is a predicted model, not a curated record. The transcript is spliced from 3 exons.
UAGCAAUGGACAAGCAGUCUCCUCCCUUUAGCAACUGGCAUGGGCAGGGCCACCAGGAACAGCCAGGCCCGUCUCGCCACUCAGUUUGGGUUGGCGAGUUACAUGAAGCAGAGGCUCUGUGGCCUAGCCACGGAAAGGAGGGACACUGAAAGUGAAAAUCCUUUUCAUGGGCCCCAGCGAGGCAGGAAGAUUGCCAUACAGCAAAAUCCUUAUUUGUUCCAGUUUGCUCAACCAAAGUUAUACCCAAACCUGGACUCCUUAUGGACAGGAGCCUGGAAAGAAAGAUUGCCAACAUCACUCUUUCCCUGAAAAUGUGAAGCAAUGCUGGCAUCAGAUAUGGGGUGUGGGUUUCUCAUACCUGAACUCUGCAAAAUGUAGACUUUUCAAUAAAGAACCUUCCACAGUGACAUAGGCCAACCAGACUGAAUCUAUCUGUAUGUGGAAGAACAUAAAGAUUUAUAUCCCUAAUUAGCCCAGAUGUAACAUUUCCUUAUAAAGGAUUUUGCUCCAGCACUGGAAUAAUUCUAGGUGCCCUCUUCUGCACCAUUUUCCAGUUCUACAACUUCCAUUUUAGAUGAUGUGUCCCAAGACAGAUUCAACACAAUAAAGUAGCAUCCUGGU